Molecule: ribosomal RNA, 265 nt
Filed under: uncultured bacterium
Lineage: Bacteria
Description: partial 16S ribosomal RNA
Rfam family: Bacterial small subunit ribosomal RNA
Source: RNAcentral
GUCCACGCCGUAAACGAUGAAUGCCAGACGUCGGGCAGCAUGCUGUUCGGUGUCACACCUAACGGAUUAAGCAUUCCGCCUGGGGAGUACGGCCGCAAGGUUAAAACUCAAAGGAAUUGACGGGGGCCCCGCACAAGCGGUGGAGCAUGUGGUUUAAUUCGAAGCAACGCGCAGAACCUUACCAACCCUUGACAUGGGCAUCGCGGGGCCAGAGAUGGUCCUUUCAGUUCGGCUGGAUGCCACACAGGUGCUGCAUGGCUGUCGU